RNAcentral lists this ribosomal RNA (406 nucleotides) under uncultured bacterium. RNAcentral's name for it is "partial 16S ribosomal RNA". It matches the Rfam family "Bacterial small subunit ribosomal RNA", at positions 29 to 526 of the family's 1533-position model. The record is from RNAcentral.
AUUGAACGCUGGCGGCAGGCUUAACACAUGCAAGUCGAACGAGUGGCGGACGGGUGAGUAACGCCUGGGCAACUGCCUGUUGGAGGGGGAUAACCACUGGAAACCGUCUCCAAUUACGCAUACUCUCUUAUGUGCCUAGAUGGGAUUGGCUAGUAGGUGGGGUAAAGGCUCACCUGGGCGACGACCCCCAGCUGGUCUGAGAGGCUGACCGGCAACACGGGAACGGAGACACGGUCCGGACUCCUAGGGGAGGCAGCAGUGGGGAAUAUUGGAAAAUGGGCGAAAGCCUGAUGAGGCACUGCGGCGUGUAUGAAGAGGGCCUUCGGGUUGAAAGGUACUUUCAGCGGGGCGACGGUACCCGAAGAAGAAGCACCGGCUAACUCCGUGCCAGCAGCCGCGGUAAUUC